ACUCUCAUCUCUCUACGAGAGUGUUGUUCAUUAUUGCAUCAAGAGCUCUCUCUGUCUUGGGACUUAGUAGGAUUGCCGAGCAGGUUUAUCGCUUCAUUCUCUGGUUUCUGAGGGAGAGCACUGUUCUAGGAGACCCUUCCUAACAGUCUUGGUGACCCGACGUGAUAUCCUCACCUGGUGCCUCAUGGAUCGAGUGUACGCUCUGGCCUCCUCACUCAUCCCCCACCGGUCCGACUACGUCUUUAUGGCACAGACCGUGCUACAGCCCGUCUACGCGUCAUUGGAACCAUCUUAUGAUGAUGCUGUUUCUGUGUAGGAGCCUUUUUCUCUGUUCUCUCUGAUGUGCGUAUUGCUUAUAACCCGUCUUCAACGAGUUAUAAAAGAGGGGAAUGAAAGGGUUAACUUUCCUUUGGCCUGUCUCUUCCCCGGUGACUAACAUGUAUUAAUAAAAUCAGACACUGCUGAGGGUGCAAGGGUGUCUGCCCUUUGAGCAUACUUACAGGCUGUUAAUAACUAUUGUUCCUCUUUCAUUCUGCAAACCACUUGCACUUUUGACUUACUGGAUUUUGAUGUUGAACUGAGCACAUCCAGGGAUGGAGAAAAACAACUCCAUGUAUGGACCAGCAGGUUACGACAUAUGUUAGAAUGUGGUCGGGCCCUUCCUGGCUGCCUGCGUGCACGUGGGACGGGCUCUCUGUGUUUAUAAAGAGGGGACUGCCCCUUCUUCUGUGUGCUUUAUGAAUAAAACUCUCAUCUCUCUACGA
Pygocentrus nattereri (red-bellied piranha) is the source of this 764-nucleotide long non-coding RNA. RefSeq lists it as uncharacterized. The transcript has 2 exons. NCBI's taxonomy places the organism in Eukaryota, Metazoa, Chordata, Actinopteri, Characiformes, Serrasalmidae. The record is from RefSeq and is a predicted model, not a curated record.